GUAUUACGUUUUCAACUCAGUAAAUUACGUGACUGUGUUCAGUUUGGUCCCAAGUUUUGUCGAUUCAA
Molecule: transfer RNA, 68 nt
Filed under: Heterosigma akashiwo
Lineage: Eukaryota; Raphidophyceae; Chattonellales; Chattonellaceae
Source: RNAcentral